GAAAUGCGAUACUUGGUGUGAAUUGCAGAAUCCCGUGAACCAUCGAGUCUUUGAACGCAAGUUGCGCCCGAAGCCAUUAGGCCGAGGGCACGCCUAGGCGGGGCUACCCGCUGAGUUUAA
This 120-nucleotide unclassified non-coding RNA is filed under the name uncultured fungus. RNAcentral's name for it is "sequence contains ITS1". The stretch from base 1 to 107 matches the Rfam family "5.8S ribosomal RNA", at positions 50 to 154 of the family's 154-position model. From Rfam's summary of the family: 5.8S ribosomal RNA (5.8S rRNA) is a component of the large subunit of the eukaryotic ribosome. It is transcribed by RNA polymerase I as part of the 45S precursor that also contains 18S and 28S rRNA. Functionally, it is thought that 5.8S rRNA may be involved in ribosome translocation. Lineage: Eukaryota; Fungi. The record is from RNAcentral.